GUGGGGAAUUUUGGACAAUGGGGGAAACCCUGAUCCAGCGACGCCGCGUGAAGGAUGAAGGCCUUCGGGUUGUAAACUUCUUUUGGAGGGGACGAAUAAAUUGACGGUACCCUCAGAAAAAGCCACGGCUAACUACGUGCCAGCAGCCGCGGUAAUACGUAGGUGGCGAGCGUUACUCGGAAUUACUAGGCGUAAAGCGUAUGUAGGCGGUUGUAUAAGUCUAUGGUGAAAUUUCCUGGCUCAACUGGGAAGGGACAUAGAUACUGUAUGGCUUGAGUGUUGGAUGGGGAGACGGAAUUCCUGGUGUAGCGGUGAAAUGCGUAGAUAUCAGGAGGAACACCGAUGGCGAAAGCAGUCUCCUGGCCAAAUACUGACGCUGAGGUACGAAAGCUAGGGUAGCAAACAGGAUUAGAUACCCGUGUAGUCC
RNAcentral lists this ribosomal RNA (427 nucleotides) under uncultured bacterium. RNAcentral's name for it is "partial 16S ribosomal RNA". It matches the Rfam family "Bacterial small subunit ribosomal RNA", at positions 354 to 796 of the family's 1533-position model. The record is from RNAcentral.